AGUGAACGCUGGCGGUAGGCCUAACACAUGCAAGUCGAACGGCAGCACAGUAAGAGCUUGCUCUUACGGGUGGCGAGUGGCGGACGGGUGAGGAAUACAUCGGAAUCUACUUUUUCGUGGGGGAUAACGUAGGGAAACUUACGCUAAUACCGCAUACGACCUACGGGUGAAAGCAGGGGAUCUUCGGACCUUGCGCGAUUGAAUGAGCCGAUGUCGGAUUAGCUAGUUGGCGGGGUAAAGGCCCACCAAGGCGACGAUCCGUAGCUGGUCUGAGAGGAUGGGCGGCCGCACUGGAACUGAGAGACGGUCAAGACUACGAAGGGAGGCAGCAGGAGGGAAGGGGGCGCAAUGGGCGAAAGUCGGAAGGAGCAACGGCGGGGGAGGGAGGAAGGUCUUCGGAUCGGAAAACUCUGUGAGUAGGGAAGAAAAUAUGUGUAAGUAACUGUGCAGAGCUUGACGGUACUUAAUCAGAAAGACACGGCUAACUACGUG
This 492-nucleotide ribosomal RNA is filed under the name uncultured bacterium. Its description in RNAcentral is "partial 16S ribosomal RNA". It matches the Rfam family "Bacterial small subunit ribosomal RNA", at positions 30 to 507 of the family's 1533-position model. The record is from RNAcentral.